AGAGUUUGAUCAUGGCUCAGGAUGAACGCUAGCGGCAGGCUUAAUACAUGCAAGUCGAGGGGCGGCGGGGGUAGCAAUACCUGCCGGCGACCGGCAAACGGGUGCGGAACACGUACACAACCUUCCUUUAAGUGGGGGAUAGCCCAGAGAAAUUUGGAUUAAUACCCCGUAACAUUAUUGAAUGGCAUCAUUUAGUAAUUAAAGUUCCGGCGCUUAAAGAUGGGUGUGCGUCUGAUUAGGUAGUUGGUGAGGGUAACGGCCCACCAAGCCUUCGAUCAGUAACUGGUGUGAGAGCACGACCAGUCACACGGGCACUGAGACACGGGCCCGACUCCUACGGGAGGCAGCAGUAAGGAAUAUUGGUCAAUGGACGCAAGUCUGAACCAGCCAUGCCGCGUGGAGGAUGAAGGUCCUCUGGAUUGUAAACUUCUUUUAUUUGGGAAGAAAUGCAUUUUUUCUAAGAUGUUUGACGGUACCAGAUGAAUAAGCACCGGCUAACUCCGUGCCAGCAGCCGCGGUAAUACGGAGGGUGCAAGCGUUAUCCGGAUUCACUGGGUUUAAAGGGUGCGUAGGUGGGCAGUUAAGUCAGUGGUGAAAUCUCCGGGCUCAACCCGGAAACUGCCAUUGAUACUAUCUGUCUUGAAUAUCGUGGAGGUAAGCGGAAUAUGUCAUGUAGCGGUGAAAUGCUUAGAUAUGACAUAGAACACCAAUUGCGAAGGCAGCUUACUACCCGAAUAUUGACACUGAGGCACGAAAGCGUGGGGAUCAAACAGGAUUAGAUACCCUUGUAGUCC
RNAcentral lists this ribosomal RNA (794 nucleotides) under uncultured Chitinophagaceae bacterium. Its description in RNAcentral is "bacterial SSU rRNA". It matches the Rfam family "Bacterial small subunit ribosomal RNA", at positions 8 to 796 of the family's 1533-position model. The record is from RNAcentral. Lineage: Bacteria; Pseudomonadati; Bacteroidota; Chitinophagia; Chitinophagales; Chitinophagaceae.